CAUGCAAGUCGAGCGAAGCACUUUAUUUGAUUUCCUUCGGGACUGAUUAUUUUGUGACUGAGUGGCGGACGGGUGAGUAACGCGUGGGUAACCUGCCUUGUACAGGGGGAUAACAGUUGGAAACGACUGCUAAUACCGCAUAAGCGCACGGCAUCGCAUGAUGCAGUGUGAAAAACUCCGGUGGUAUAAGAUGGACCCGCGUUGGAUUAGCUAGUUGGCGAGGUAACGGCCCACCAAGGCGACGAUCCAUAGCCGACCUGAGAGGGUGACCGGCCACAUUGGGACUGAGACACGGCCCAAACUCCUACGGGAGGCAGCAGUGGGGAAUAUUGCACAAUGGGCGAAAGCCUGAUGCAGCGACGCCGCGUGAGCGAAGAAGUAUUUCGGUAUGUAAAGCUCUAUCAGCAGGGAAGAUAAUGACGGUACCUGACUAAGAAGCACCGGCUAAAUACGUGCCAGCAGCCGCGGUAAUACGUAUGGUGCAAGCGUUAUCCGGAUUUACUGGGUGUAAAGGGAGCGCAGGCGGUGCGGCAAGUCUGAUGUGAAAGCCCGGGGCUCAACCCCGGUACUGCAUUGGAAACUGUCGUACUAGAGUGUCGGAAGGGUAAGCGGAAUUCCUAGUGUAGCGGUGAAAUGCGUAGAUAUUAGGAGGAACACCAGUGGCGAAGGCGGCUUACUGGACGAUAACUGACGCUGAAGCUCGAAAGCGUGG
Molecule: ribosomal RNA, 712 nt
Filed under: uncultured bacterium
Lineage: Bacteria
Description: bacterial SSU rRNA
Rfam family: Bacterial small subunit ribosomal RNA
Source: RNAcentral